RNAcentral lists this transfer RNA (68 nucleotides) under Proechimys echinothrix. RNAcentral's name for it is "tRNA-Arg". It matches the Rfam family "tRNA". From Rfam's summary of the family: Transfer RNA (tRNA) molecules are approximately 80 nucleotides in length. Their secondary structure includes four short double-helical elements and three loops (D, anti-codon, and T loops). Lineage: Eukaryota; Metazoa; Chordata; Mammalia; Rodentia; Echimyidae. The record is from RNAcentral.
UAAUGGUUAGUUUAAAUAAAACAAAUGAUUUCGACUCAUUAAAUUAUGUUUAUAUACAUAACCACUAA